GAUGAAGAACGUAGCGAAAUGCGAUAAGUAAUGUGAAUUGCAGAAUUCAGUGAAUCAUCGAAUCUUUGAACGCACCUUGCACCCUUUGGCAUUCUGAAGGGUAUGCUCGUUUUAGUGUCAUUGUACUCUCACACUCCCGAUCUUUGCAUUGGGAGCAGUGGACUUGGGUUUGCUGCUUCACCGUCGCUUACCUCAAAUAGGUUAGUGCAACUCUUGGUUGGACAUAGUACGGCGUGAUAAGUGUUCUUCGCCGGUGCCUCGCAAAGAGGGUGGCCGAUCGGGAUGUUGUGCUCCAAACCGUCUUCGGACAAUCUCUGACGACUUGACCUCAAAUCGAGUAAGACUACCCGCUGAACUUAAGCAUAUCAAUAAGCGGAGGA
This 380-nucleotide unclassified non-coding RNA is filed under the name soil metagenome. RNAcentral describes it as "partial contains 5.8S ribosomal RNA, internal transcribed spacer 2, and large subunit ribosomal RNA". The stretch from base 1 to 120 matches the Rfam family "5.8S ribosomal RNA", at positions 35 to 154 of the family's 154-position model. The record is from RNAcentral.